RNAcentral lists this unclassified non-coding RNA (221 nucleotides) under Hevea brasiliensis (rubber tree). Lineage: Eukaryota; Viridiplantae; Streptophyta; Magnoliopsida; Malpighiales; Euphorbiaceae. The record is from RNAcentral.
UUCUUCUUCAUUGCUUUCUUCCAAUGGUAAUGCUCAAAUAAAAAUGCCCAGUCAUGUCAACAGCACCCAUGUUGCAUUGAAAGUCCUCCUCACAUAACAAUUCAAAUCUUGAACUGAUUAAAGAGAUGACACAUGCAGGGAUUGAAAAAGGUAAGGACAGAGAAAGCGGCCGACCCGAUCCAUAUGUUGAUGAAGCGGUCUGGGUCCGCAUGCCCACUCCU